Molecule: ribosomal RNA, 253 nt
Filed under: uncultured bacterium
Lineage: Bacteria
Description: partial 16S ribosomal RNA
Rfam family: Bacterial small subunit ribosomal RNA
Source: RNAcentral
UACGUAGGGUGCGAGCGUUAAUCGGAAUUACUGGGCGUAAAGUGUGCGCAGGUGGCCGCGCAAGUCGAGUGUGAAAUCCCCGAGCUUAACUUGGGAAUUGCGCUCGAAACUACGUGGCUCGAGUGUGGCAGAGGAAGGUGGAAUUCCACGUGUAGCGGUGAAAUGCGUAGAUAUUGGGAGGAACACCGGUGGCGAAGGCGGCCCCCUGGGCUGGUACUGACGCUGAUGCGCGAAAGCGUGGGUAGCAAACGGG